UGUUACAUGGUAUAUUGUAACACUCGUGGGACAACACAUCUUCACAGCAAGAAUCGAAAGAGGGGGCUACCAGACCCUCCUGCAGAACACAUGUUACGCGUAUGUUAGGAAAAUUCUAGGAUAUUAUUUGCGAUAUAAAGAAGUCCACGGCAAAUUCCCUCGCACCCUUCCCGAUCAAUCGCAAGAAACCUUCGUAUGUCAUUCUGUUUUGAGGUAGACUGGAAUUUACUUUGUGGCGCAAAACGUGAAGGUGAGGUUGUCAGCCAGCAGCCUUCAUCUGGACCAGCUUCCGGCCUUGCUCCAUCUAAGAGAAAUCAUUCCGGUACUGCAUUUCCAUGAGGAUGAGAGUGCAACCCAGUGGUGAUAACGUACUCUGUGGGUUGGGGGAGGGGCCUCCUUAUGCACUGUUACCUUGAAGUGGUGGGACCGUUUGUAUCUUGAAGAGGCCAGACCAAAGGCAGACGAGUACAGAGGAAAUUGGAAACGGGGUCAGAUUGUGAACUGAAUAAAGGACACGACAAACCUCAAUGCUAUUACGAUACUUGGAAGAAUCUUACUGGACUGCAGUCCAUUUACUUUAGUUAAGUUUAUCUUUUUAUCAUCUCUCAUAUAUGCCACAGGCUCCAUACGACUAAUCAUUUAUGUUUAUUGCCCUAAUGACAUCUGGUGAGGAGUACGCAUUAUGAAGUUCUUCAUACGUA
Non-coding RNA from Zootermopsis nevadensis, 701 nucleotides. The record is from RefSeq and is a predicted model, not a curated record. Lineage: Eukaryota; Metazoa; Arthropoda; Insecta; Blattodea; Termopsidae.